Molecule: long non-coding RNA, 290 nt
Organism: Harpia harpyja (harpy eagle)
Lineage: Eukaryota; Metazoa; Chordata; Aves; Accipitriformes; Accipitridae
Exons: 2
Source: RefSeq, a predicted model, not a curated record
GGUAUGCUAAUGAGGAGUUGGUCAGGCAGGAGCUGAAUGUCAACUAGUCAAAGAUGGAGGCUGGAGCGGGGAGGCCAUGAGGCAUGGAAUGAAGCUCCCUCCAGUCACCUGCCGCAAGACACAUUAUCCAGCUUCCUAACCUUAAGGAUGAGACCCUAUCAAUAUUGCCUCUGCUUUUGUGAUCAGGGUAGUAGUGCAAUAUUGCUUAUAGGGUCUUUUCUUUUGAGGGUUAUUCUUCACGGAGAGAAGAAAGCCACAGCAGGAAAAAAAUAAUCCUGUGUGCCCAUCGA